This 253-nucleotide ribosomal RNA is filed under the name uncultured bacterium. Its description in RNAcentral is "partial 16S ribosomal RNA". It matches the Rfam family "Bacterial small subunit ribosomal RNA", at positions 524 to 776 of the family's 1533-position model. The record is from RNAcentral.
UACGUAGGUGGCAAGCGUUACUCGGAAUCACUAGGCGUAAAGCGCAGGUAGGAGGUUUGGUAAGUCUGUUGUGAAAGCUCCCGGCUCAACUGGGAGAGGUCAACGGAAACUACCAGGCUAGAGUGUGGUAGAGGAAGAUGGAAUUCCCGGUGUAGCGGUGAAAUGCGCAGAUAUCGGGAAGAACACCCGUGGCGAAGGCGGUUCUCUGGGACGGUACUGACGCUGAGACGCGAAAGCGUGGGGAGCGAACAGG